CCCGAUGGUGCAGACGGUUAAGUGCUUGGCUGUGAACCAAAAGGUUUGUGGUUCAAACCCACACAGCGGCU
This 71-nucleotide transfer RNA is filed under the name Loxodonta africana (African savanna elephant). It matches the Rfam family "tRNA". From Rfam's summary of the family: Transfer RNA (tRNA) molecules are approximately 80 nucleotides in length. Their secondary structure includes four short double-helical elements and three loops (D, anti-codon, and T loops). Lineage: Eukaryota; Metazoa; Chordata; Mammalia; Proboscidea; Elephantidae. The record is from Rfam by way of RNAcentral.